AUGGGUGCUGAGGCUAUGAUGAUGGAAGCCCUUGAGAAAGUUGAGAAGGAGAUUAAGAAGCCACUUCUGAGGAGUGACAAGAAGAAUAUGGGUCUCCUCUUGGCAGAGUUUGAGAAGAUAAACAAAAAGCUUGGAAUCCGCAAGGAGGAUCUUCCCAAGAUUGAGGAAGAGCUUGAAUUGGAAAUUGCCAAAAGUGAGCUGACGGAGCUUAAGAAGGAAUGUGUUGAAGCAAUGGAGGUUCAACUAAAGA
This 250-nucleotide unclassified non-coding RNA is filed under the name Hevea brasiliensis (rubber tree). Lineage: Eukaryota; Viridiplantae; Streptophyta; Magnoliopsida; Malpighiales; Euphorbiaceae. The record is from RNAcentral.